RNAcentral lists this ribosomal RNA (444 nucleotides) under uncultured Desulfuromonas sp. RNAcentral describes it as "bacterial SSU rRNA". It matches the Rfam family "Bacterial small subunit ribosomal RNA", at positions 939 to 1382 of the family's 1533-position model. Lineage: Bacteria; Pseudomonadati; Thermodesulfobacteriota; Desulfuromonadia; Desulfuromonadales; Desulfuromonadaceae. The record is from RNAcentral.
AUGUGGUUAAUUCGACGCAACGCGCAGAACUUACCUGGGCUUGACAUCCCGAUCGCACUCUCUGGAAACAGAGGGUCAGUUCGGCUGGAUCGGUGACAGGUGCUGCAUGGCUGUCGUCAGCUCGUGUCGUGAGAUGUUGGGUUAAGUCCCGCAACGAGCGCAACCCUCGUCCUUAGUUGCCAGCAUUAAGUUUGGGGCACUCUAAGGAGACUGCCGGUGUUAAACCGGAGGAAGGCGGGGAUGACGUCAAGUCCUCAUGGCCCUUAUGUCCAGGGCUACACACGUGCUACAAUGGCCGGUACAAAGGGUAGCAAGACCGCGAGGUGGAGCCAAUCCCAAAAAGCCGGUCUCAGUUCGGAUUGGAGUCUGCAACUCGACUCCAUGAAGUUGGAAUCGCUAGUAAUCGUGGAUCAGCAUGCCACGGUGAAUACGUUCCCGGGCCUU